Molecule: ribosomal RNA, 483 nt
Filed under: Martes martes (European pine marten)
Lineage: Eukaryota; Metazoa; Chordata; Mammalia; Carnivora; Mustelidae
Description: partial 12S ribosomal RNA
Source: RNAcentral
CAAAGGUUUGGUCCUGGCCUUCCUAUUAGUUAUUGACAGAAUUACACAUGCAAGCCUCCACAUCCCGGUGAAGAUGCCCUCUAAAUCUAUUAAACGAUUAAAAGGAGCGGGCAUCAGGCACACUAAAUAAGUAGCCCAUAACGCCUUGCUCAACCACACCCCCACGGGAUACAGCAGUGAUAAAAAUUAAGCCAUGAACGAAAGUUUGACUAAGCCAUGUUAAUAUUAAGAGUUGGUAAAUUUCGUGCCAGCCACCGCGGUCAUACGAUUAACCCAAAUUAAUAGGCUCACGGCGUAAAACGUGCUAAGGAUUACAAAACACUAAAGUUAAAAUUUAACCAGGCCGUAAAAAGCUACUGUUAAUAUAAAAUAUACCACGAAAGUGACUUUAUCAUCUCCAACAACACGAUAGCUGGGAUCCAAACUGGGAUUAGAUACCCCACUAUGCCCAGCCCUAAACACAAACAAUUUACACAACAAAAU